CAUGAUUGCUCAGGCCAGCUGUAAGAAAACCCACACAUUUGUCAGGCAGUGAUUUUGUAAGAAAUCGCUGGCAUUGGCUUAUAUAAUUGAAAAUUCUGGAAAUUUACAUUAUUUCCUUGUUUAAAUACAGUCUAUAGUUUAGGUGUAAGAGAUUCCCCAGAUUUAUUUUCUAUCAUUGUGUAGCUUAUACACGAAACUCUUUUUAGUCUGAUUCGGCUUGACACGCUCAUUACAGAAUGAUAGUCACACAUUUGGAAGCAGUGAAGAUAAAUUAUCCCCUUUGCUAUCACUGACUAUUUGUUGGAUUAAUCCUCGAGAAAUGAUGGGCUUGGAUGUAACUGAUCACACUUAAGCCAUUAGUUGGCCGUUAAGGACUAUAAUCACUCAAUGAUUUUAUGAUACCAACCUGAAAGGCACAAUCUGUUACAGUGGUUAUUGCAAUGUUUUGGAGCUAGUUAGCAAUCUCUUUAACCACAGUACUAUUUAAGCACAUUUGUUUGACAUAAACAGACUGAUAGUGUUUUACACAUGGGCAAAAUUUUAUAGCUCAAUUGACAUUCCUAUCUUGUUUUGAACAAAAUUCCACAAGCUUGAAAAUGUCAGAGUUAUUCUUGUGGAAAAUGCAUUUUUGCUGGUUGGCAAUAGGCCUAUUCAUCUUAUUUUAUCCUUUCAGAUAUAACAUUAAUCUCAGUGCUGAGAUAUCAUGACUAAAAAGCACUCAAUUUAUAUACAUCAUGGUUUACAAAAUAGCAAGCGGGUAUUCUGUGCAGUUAUGAAACCUGAAUUAAGGACUGUAAGUUACUGUGGCAUGGAGAUACCCAGUUAUUGACAUCAUUCAGUUAAAAUAGUAAGAGAUGUAAAGCAAGGUUCAAGAGACCAGAAUUGGUAUCCAUUUCUAAUAGGUGAUCCUGUUGGGUUGAUUCUCAUACAAAAUAUGUAACUUAAUACCUAUAUUUCACUUUUCUACUGGCAUGAAUUAGACAGGAUUCUGUACUGCUCUCUCUCAAAAAUUUCCAUCCUUAAAAAGAAAAUCAGAAUUGACAAUCAUAAUAUGUUGUAAAUCCAGCGACACUCAAAAUUGAAAAUAAAACUUUGAUUGGCUUGAGUGCUGCAAGAUUUUAAAAUCUGGGUUCAUCAGUAAUAACAAGAUAUUUGUUUCAAAGUAUAUAUGCCAAGCAGAAUCAAUAUAUCAGUUUAUUACCAUUUGUCAAAUGGGCUGAACUUUUUGAAAAGAGAAGUAUUGUUUAUAUCUUCCAGAUUGAUUCUGUCAUAGAAGAGUUUUGCGAUUAUUCUUAAUCUGCAUCAACGCUAACUUGUUUUUCUAGGGGAAUGUCUUAUCAAAGUCAAUUCAGUAGGACAUACCCUUGAACAUAAGAAUAUUCAAUUAUGUCACAAAUUUGUAGCAUAUAGUAUCUGUUUAAUUAAUAGCAGUAUCUAUUCCUCAUAGUCAAGAAUUUCCACUUUAAAGAGUGGGAACACACGAGCAGUAUUAAAAGUGCUGUUGAGUUUUGUCCAUUGAAUCUGAAGUGUCUUGAGCUGUUUACCCUUUACUAUACUGAAGGCUAGCAGACACCUCUGAAAAUGCUGGCCAAUGACUUAGAGCAGAUUAUUAAACCUACCUUAGGUGGCUAGGAAUACUUACAUCCCUGAGAUAAGCAAAUGCAAUUACAACAUGUACCCUUUGCCUGAUGAUCAUCAUUCAGGGAAUUACAUUUGAAUGGACUACUGCAUCCAGCUCAUAAUUGGAUUAUGAUGCAGAGUCAAAGUCUUGAUCAAUUAUAAAGCAAAAUGGAAAAAAAAACAGCUCUUCAGUUUUAAUCCACUUUUAAUGACCUUCAUCAGUCAUUACUAUCUAGUGGCCUUCAGGCAUGUCCUCAUCUACUAAAAUUGCUAGUAUAAGCAAAGUAAAAAAUGACUAAUAAAGGAAAAUUUAAUUUUAAAAUGUAAGUAUGAACACAGAAAUAAAAAGAAAUGGGUUUGCCUUCUAGCUGAAAUUCCUUGUGAUUUAUGAAGAGGAAAUUCAACUUACCCUUCUGCUUCAAAGUGAAAUGAAAGUGCAGUUCACACAAGUCCCCUUUAUAUGGUGUCACGUUUGUUGAAUGACACCACUGAAGUGGAGACUGGAGGCUGAGGGCAUAAGUGAGCUCUUUUAGUUUUGCUCACAUAUAUGUGAUGCAAAUACUGAGAUCAGCUUUAAGGUUUGAGCAAUUUCUUAUUCUUUUAUAACAAUAGAAAGCCAAAGUUGUAGAAAAUACCAUCUAGAACUAACAGAUAACUCCAGAUUUGUAGACACAAACAAAGUGUAUAAAAACAUACAGUAACUUUCCAUGAUUCCAGGUCAUAUUGUAAAAAUUGUUUCUUGUUUUACAAAAGCAAAAAUGUCAUAUGACUACCAGUGGUUUUUGUGAAAGGAAAGGUACUCCUGUGAAUUAAGGAAGCAUGAUACCUCCCUGAUAGUCUGACCUGGAAGUCAGAAUUCUAAACUUUGCUUCCCAUCUCUGUGUAUGAUGUACUUGCCUUACCUUAAUAUAAUUUUCUAGCUGUGUGUUAUGCUCAAUGUUUCCAUGACCUUUUGGUCUCUCUUGCAUGCAGAGUACCAUUGAUCCCUUCUUGGCCAGAGACGGAUCUUGGAAAAACCUGUAUAUGUGCACAAAAUUCUCAAACGGGCAACAUUUUCAAGAAAAAAAGAAACCAGAGUUUUUGUUCCUCUGGUUUCCCAGGAAUAAAUAUUGUGAUCUUCUUGGGAAUAGCACAGACACCAGGCAACUCAGCACCAUUGAGACACAGUGCACUGAUGCAGGAAUGGGAUGAAAAAAAUGUAGAGA
Molecule: long non-coding RNA, 2825 nt
Organism: Lepidothrix coronata (blue-crowned manakin)
Lineage: Eukaryota; Metazoa; Chordata; Aves; Passeriformes; Pipridae
Exons: 3
Source: RefSeq, a predicted model, not a curated record